UACGAAGGGGGCUAGCGUUGCUCGGAAUCACUGGGCGUAAAGGGUGCGUAGGCGGGUCUUUAAGUCAGGGGUGAAAUCCUGGAGCUCAACUCCAGAACUGCCUUUGAUACUGAAGAUCUUGAGUUCGGGAGAGGUGAGUGGAACUGCGAGUGUAGAGGUGAAAUUCGUAGAUAUCGAGAGGAACAUCGGUGGCGAAGGCGGCCCUCUGGACGGUGACUGACGCUGAGGCACGAAGGCCAGGGGAGCAAACGGG
RNAcentral lists this ribosomal RNA (253 nucleotides) under uncultured bacterium. RNAcentral describes it as "partial 16S ribosomal RNA". It matches the Rfam family "Bacterial small subunit ribosomal RNA", at positions 524 to 776 of the family's 1533-position model. The record is from RNAcentral.